GCAAAGGUUUUUUCCUACCCCCCUUCCGCC
RNAcentral lists this non-coding RNA (30 nucleotides) under Mus musculus (house mouse). The record is from RNAcentral. Lineage: Eukaryota; Metazoa; Chordata; Mammalia; Rodentia; Muridae.